UGCAUCAGCCGGGAAUUGAAAUUGGGCCGCCCGCGUGGCAGGCGAGCAUUCUACCACUGAACCACCGAUGG
This 71-nucleotide transfer RNA is filed under the name Cordylochernes scorpioides. RNAcentral describes it as "tRNA-Gly". The record is from RNAcentral. Lineage: Eukaryota; Metazoa; Arthropoda; Arachnida; Pseudoscorpiones; Chernetidae.